GACGAACGCUGGCGGCGUGCCUAAUACAUGCAAGUAGAACGCUGAAGAGAGGAGCUUGCUCUUCUUGGAUGAGUUGCGAACGGGUGAGUAACGCGUAGGUAACCUGCCUUGUAGCGGGGGAUAACUAUUGGAAACGAUAGCUAAUACCGCAUAACAAUGGAUGACACAUGUCAUUUAUUUGAAAGGGGCAAUUGCUCCACUACAAGAUGGACCUGCGUUGUAUUAGCUAGUAGGUGAGGUAAUGGCUCACCUAGGCGACGAUACAUAGCCGACCUGAGAGGGUGAUCGGCCACACUGGGACUGAGACACGGCCCAGACUCCUACGGGAGGCAGCAGUAGGGAAUCUUCGGCAAUGGGGGCAACCCUGACCGAGCAACGCCGCGGGAGUGAAGAAGGGUUUCGGACCGUAAAGCUCUGUUGUAAGUCAAGAACGGGUGUGAGAGUGGAAAGUUCACACUGUGACGGUAGCUUACCAGAAAGAGACGGCUAACUACGUG
RNAcentral lists this ribosomal RNA (497 nucleotides) under uncultured bacterium. RNAcentral's name for it is "partial 16S ribosomal RNA". It matches the Rfam family "Bacterial small subunit ribosomal RNA", at positions 28 to 507 of the family's 1533-position model. The record is from RNAcentral.